GAUGAACGCUGGCGGCGUGCCUAAUACAUGCAAGUCGAGCGAACAGACGAGGAGCUUGCCCCUCUGACGUUAGCGGCGGACGGGUGAGUAACACGUGGAUAACCUACCUAUAAGACUGGGAUAACUUCGGGAAACCGGAGCUAAUACCGGAUAAUAUAUUGAACCGCAUGGUUCAAUAGUGAAAGACGGUUUUGCUGUCACUUAUAGAUGGAUCCGCGCCGCAUUAGCUAGUUGGUAAGGUAACGGCUUACCAAGGCAACGAUGCGUAGCCGACCUGAGAGGGUGAUCGGCCACACUGGAACUGAGACACGGUCCAGACUCCUACGGGAGGCAGCAGUAGGGAAUCUUCCGCAAUGGGCGAAAGCCUGACGGAGCAACGCCGCGUGAGUGAUGAAGGUCUUCGGAUCGUAAAACUCUGUUAUUAGGGAAGAACAAAUGUGUAAGUAACUAUGCACGUCUUGACGGUACCUGAUCAGAAAGCCACGGCUAACUACGUG
Molecule: ribosomal RNA, 497 nt
Filed under: uncultured bacterium
Lineage: Bacteria
Description: partial 16S ribosomal RNA
Rfam family: Bacterial small subunit ribosomal RNA
Source: RNAcentral